Molecule: unclassified non-coding RNA, 299 nt
Organism: Pongo abelii (Sumatran orangutan)
Lineage: Eukaryota; Metazoa; Chordata; Mammalia; Primates; Hominidae
Rfam family: Metazoan signal recognition particle RNA
About the family: The signal recognition particle (SRP) is a universally conserved ribonucleoprotein. It is involved in the co-translational targeting of proteins to membranes. The eukaryotic SRP consists of a 300-nucleotide 7S RNA and six proteins: SRPs 72, 68, 54, 19, 14, and 9.
Source: Ensembl
GCCAGGCGCAGUGGCACAUACCUAUAUUCCCAGCUACUUGGGAGGCUGAGGUGGGAGGAUUGCUGGAACCCAGGAGCCCUGGGCUAUAGUGCACUAUGCUGAUUGGGUGUCCACACUAAAUUUGGCAUCAAUAUGGUGACCUCCUAGGAGCAAAGACCACCAGGUCACCUAAGGAGGAGUGAACCAGCCCAGGUCAGAUGUGGAGCAGGUCAAAACGCCUGUGCUGAUCAGUAGUGGGAUUGCACCUGUGAAUAGCCACUGCACUCCAACCUGGGCAACAUAGCAAGAUCCCAUCACUA